UCUAGGGUAGUCUAAUGGACAUGGCAUCUGCCCAAUAAGCGGAACAAUGUGGGUUCUAUUCCCAUCCCUGGUAA
Cordylochernes scorpioides is the source of this 74-nucleotide non-coding RNA. Lineage: Eukaryota; Metazoa; Arthropoda; Arachnida; Pseudoscorpiones; Chernetidae. The record is from the annotation of a GenBank genome assembly.